UACGUAGGGGGCUAGCGUUGUCCGGAAUCAUUGGGCGUAAAGCGCGCGCAGGCGGCCUCUUAAGUCUGAUGUGAAAGCCCCCGGCUCAACCGGGGAGGGCCAUUGGAAACUGGGAGGCUUGAGUAUAGGAGAGAAGAGUGGAAUUCCACGUGUAGCGGUGAAAUGCGUAGAGAUGUGGAGGAACACCAGUGGCGAAGGCGGCGAUCUGGACGGAUAUUGACGCUGAUGUACGAAAGCGUGGGGAGCAAACAGG
RNAcentral lists this ribosomal RNA (253 nucleotides) under uncultured bacterium. RNAcentral's name for it is "partial 16S ribosomal RNA". It matches the Rfam family "Bacterial small subunit ribosomal RNA", at positions 524 to 776 of the family's 1533-position model. The record is from RNAcentral.